Molecule: RNA transcript, 2136 nt
Organism: Triticum dicoccoides
Lineage: Eukaryota; Viridiplantae; Streptophyta; Magnoliopsida; Poales; Poaceae
Exons: 3
Source: RefSeq, a predicted model, not a curated record
CGCCUCGGGAGCCUCCCCGCCGGCCUUUUGCCGCCUCCCGCGGUCGCGCCCUUCGUCGCCGGUGGCCGCGCACGUCGCCCCGGGAACCGCCCCGCCGGCCCUUUGCCGCCUCCCGCAGGCGCUGCUCCACGGGAUCCGGCAAGGUCGUCUUCCAUCACGACAGCCCAUGAGAGGUCAUCUUCCGUCAUGGGUGCAGCUGACUGGGGCGUGGUAGUCGUCCCCAUCGUCUCUACUGUCCUCAUGCCAAGCGGUGGUCCUUCCCGGCGGCCCUUGCUCCUUCGCUAGCGCGCCUCCGGCGGCGGCGGCGGUGGCGGGCCGGCAGGUGGGCAAGCGAGCCAGGAACCCUAACCGUUUCUGAUGGGCAAGGCCAGCGAUGAUGGUGCAUCUCUCCGUGCGGCGGCGACGAGAAUCAUGCAUCCGGCAGUGCUUCCUAGGGAGGAGCUUCACCGGUUUGUCCAUACCGAGCAUGUAUCUUUGCCUCCAUCCCAUCCCUGGCUCGCUAUUUUCAUGAUAUGCGCCCCGUUGUUGCUCCGAUUGGUUGCAGAGUACUUGCAGAAUUUAAGCGGAGAUGUGUUGCCCCACAAUGUACAUUUUGUAGUGUCAGAUUUCCACCUCUUGUGGCGUGCCUCGAACAAUUUCAGCUUUUCCAUGUCUUUUUAUUAUCCUGAAUGUGUUCGUCCAUCCUAGAAUUUUUUUUAUCAGCCUGCUCCUUUACUGUCGAAUUCCAUUAUAAAGGGCACUUGUUCAAUCACAAGUUGCAAAUUUUGAAAGCCAUAAUACUUGCUCUGUAAUCGGUGCUUCUCUUGGCUCAAUGGUCCUACGUCUGAUCAUCCAUUCGACUAAUUUUUUUUUUGCAGUUGUGCAAGUCUGGCUGUAGCUCGUGAUGGAAGUUCGGGAUAGCCUGGAGAUGACACAUACUCUGAACUAACUCAGCUUCUUUCGUUGCUACUUCAGGGCCAUCUCAGCCAUUCUGAGCACCUACGCCUCACCACAGGCCACCGAAAACGCUGAGCAUAAGUUACACGAUGUUGUGAUCGAAAUCCCCAACCGGCUUCCGCACAGUGAGGUACAGAGAUAACGGAUUGGUAUACUUGCAAAAAGAAUCAUGGAAUUAUAUUCCUUUGGUUGUGCAUGUAGGAAAUUUGCUAUAUAUUUCAUUUACAACCAAUGGUAUGUACAUAGAGGAUUAGAAGUUCAGAAAUGAUUGAGUCGUAGCCAUAUACAUACUGGCUCAGCUCCCAUUUUGAUAUUUUCAUAUAAGCAUGAUUUUAAAUACAGAAAAUAAGUUGUAUGUUGCAGCACUUUGACAUAAAGUUCUAUCAAUAUUUGUACAGUCCUUCCAUGUGUCAACUGAUGAAGAGAUAAGAUUUAUUGGAUUUCUUUUGCUGAUGUAUUCGACUGCUUCUGCAUAUGGAGUUAGCUCAUUGGGAGAAUUCUGAAGCCAGGCCUUGAGAGAGUCUGGAAGUACAAAGUGCAGAACAAAAUCUGGAUUGCUGACCAGCUUGCGAUCCGGGGAAGUCCCCACUCGCCGAUGUGCAAGAUGUGCAACCUGAUGCCUGAAUCUGUGGCUCAUUUAAGUUGUGCUUUUGCGAGUCAAAUCUGCCAGUUGCUGUCCCUGGUGACCCCUUCCAUUGCGCCUGCAGGUUUAAUUGAGAACUCAGUUAUGUUGUGGUGGGCCAAGGUAUUUGCAAUGGUGUCGGUUGUCAAUAAAAGGAGGCCGCUGGAUUGGGCCCUAGGCACAGUUUGGAAUCUGUGGAAAGAACGCUACAGGUGAACCUUUAAAGCAAAAGAGGCAUCGGCUAAUGUGGUUUUCUCCCUGAUUAGGGACAAGGUUAAGGCCUUCAGGGCUGCUUGGCGCGAGGGAUAGCCUUGGUUUUUCUUGUUUCUUACCUUUAUCAUGUGCAAAACUUCUUUAGUUUAGCUCUUUCUGGAGGCUACUUUAGGCGUUUUUUCUGAAGCCAAGCAUGUUGUGAGAAAGAUAGCAGGAAAGAUGAAAGUCCAAUUCAAAGAGGAGCUGUGCAGAUAGAAAUUGAUGUGUCGUUGUGUUCUUUGAAUUUUCCUCAACUUACAUGAUGAUAGCGAACCGUUUAUAGUGGUUAUGUUCAUCUUCAAGCUCUUUAAGUGUAUUUCUUUGUA